AAACUUAAAGGAAUUGACGGGGCCCGCACAAGCGGUGGAGCAUGUGGUUAAUUCGACGCAACGCGAAGAACCUUACCAGGGCUUGACAUCCCCUGACCGCGUAUGAAAGUACGUUUUCACCCUCGGGUGACAGGGAGACAGGUGGUGCAUGGUUGUCGUCAGCUCGUGUCGUGAGAUGUUGGGUUAAGUCCCGCAACGAGCGCAACCCCUACGUUUAGUUGCUAACGCGUGAAGGCGAGCACUCUAGACGAACUGCCGUUGACAAAACGGAGGAAGGUGGGGAUGACGUCAAAUCAUCAUGCCCCUUAUGUUCUGGGCUACACACGUGCUACAAUGGCCGGUACAGACGGACGCAAAGCCGCGAGGUGGAGCAAAUCCUAAAAAGCCGGUCUCAGUUCGGAUUGCAGGCUGCAAUUCGCCUGCAUGAAGUCGGAAUCGCUAGUAAUCGCAGGUCAGCAUACUGCGGUGAAUACGUUCCCGGGCCUU
RNAcentral lists this ribosomal RNA (486 nucleotides) under uncultured Pelotomaculum sp. Its description in RNAcentral is "bacterial SSU rRNA". It matches the Rfam family "Bacterial small subunit ribosomal RNA", at positions 897 to 1382 of the family's 1533-position model. Lineage: Bacteria; Bacillati; Bacillota; Clostridia; Eubacteriales; Desulfotomaculaceae. The record is from RNAcentral.